This is a long non-coding RNA of Asparagus officinalis (garden asparagus), 635 nucleotides long. RefSeq lists it as uncharacterized. The transcript is spliced from 2 exons. The record is from RefSeq and is a predicted model, not a curated record. Lineage: Eukaryota; Viridiplantae; Streptophyta; Magnoliopsida; Asparagales; Asparagaceae.
UCCUCAUUGAUCCCUCCUCCUCCGUCUCCUCCUCCGCUGCCUCAACCACCUCUUGAACCUAGAGCCUCCGACGCCGCCUCCGCCUCGGCAUCACCCUCUCCCUCAUCAUCUCCCUCUACGAUCGCGGAGUCAAUCCCGAAGCCCUAGCCGCCUUCGUCCGCGAGCUCUCUUGGUCAUCUUCAACUCCAAUCUUGGUCAUCAAAGGAUGCUACACAGGAAAUGCCAGGGGAGAUUAUGUUUCCAGGUCGAGCGAGGAGCUUGUCGAUGUUUGCAGAUGCUACACAGGAAAUUCCAGUUAUUGCGAUUGGAUCAAGUGGGUUUGGUGUGCAUCCAAACAUCUAGUUCGAGUACCAGUUCCCUUUAUUUGCAAUCCUUGAAUCCGCAAUUUUGGGUUUCGACAUUGCACUGAUAACGUUGCUAACGAAUGCAUGCUCUGGAGGUGAAUCAGCUGGAUAUGUUGAUCCGAUCACUGGUUGAGUUUGUUUGUUGCAGUUUCGUUCCUUUGGUUCUCCCCAAUCCUUUGCUCUGUUUUUCAAGAAUUUGGACAAAGAACAUGAAUAAUUGUUACUGGUUUGAUCAAGAACUAAACUUGGAUAUUAAUUGUAUUUAAAUGUCAUGCAGACUAUUAUUGUUUC